RNAcentral lists this ribosomal RNA (256 nucleotides) under uncultured bacterium. RNAcentral describes it as "partial 16S ribosomal RNA". It matches the Rfam family "Bacterial small subunit ribosomal RNA", at positions 99 to 353 of the family's 1533-position model. The record is from RNAcentral.
CGGACGGGUGAGUAACGCGUGGGUAACCUGCCUUAUACAGGGGGAUAACAGUCAGAAAUGGCUGCUAAUACCGCAUAAGCGCACAGAGCUGCAUGGCUCGGUGUGAAAAACUCCGGUGGUAUAAGAUGGACCCGCGUUGGAUUAGCUUGUUGGUGGGGUAACGGCCCACCAAGGCGACGAUCCAUAGCCGGCCUGAGAGGGUGAACGGCCACAUUGGGACUGAGACACGGCCCAGACUCCUACGGGAGGCAGCAUG